This is a long non-coding RNA of Cuculus canorus (common cuckoo), 1618 nucleotides long. RefSeq lists it as uncharacterized. Lineage: Eukaryota; Metazoa; Chordata; Aves; Cuculiformes; Cuculidae. The transcript has 3 exons. The record is from RefSeq and is a predicted model, not a curated record.
AAAAAAGGAGAUUCCUAUUAUUUCACAUCAUAUCAUAUGAUACUGCACUGAUGUUCAGCGCAACUGUCUUCAAAGGGCAGGUCCUAUACAAAACCAAGAAAGGUCUGUUAGAAUAUCCACUGGAAAAUGAACGAUUAUCAAAGGCCUCUAAUGCUUUUAAAGCUGUAUUAAAACAAAACCCUGUCCAUAAAAGAUUCUCUGUUGUCAAAAUAAAUCAAAUCACAAGCAAUAUGUGAAUCAAGACAAUGGUGAAUAAAUUCUUCUCAUUCCAGAAGGAGAAGAACCUCACUCACCAGCAUGCUCCACUAUAAGACUUGGGAACUCAUCAUACUGGUGCCAGCAGAGGGCAAUACUGCACAGGCCAAAAUUUUGUGGUGAUAAGGUAUAAAACGCAAAGUAUCUCUCUUGUUCCACCCCACAGCACAAGUCUUUCCACUUCCAAAUGAAGAACAUUCUCAAGGAUUGCAAGGAACUAUGAAAAUGCGAAUGGUCUCAAAGGAACAUAAUGCCUGGGUUUUGGCUUGUCCUGUAUUCACCCGCUGAAUGAAGAAGGAUCUGAAACGUUAUACAAGGACUAUGGCAGUACUGUUUUCACAGCCACUUUCAGAGCCAAGUUUCAGCUUCUCUGGCAGAAGUGCCUGCUUUCCAUGAAGGAAGGGCUGACAGAAGCAAACACACACCUCCAGAGGAAAAACAAACGUUGAAGUAUUCAGCAGCAUCCAUGCCAGAGAUCUGUCUCCUUUUGCCUACAGCCCCAGCUCCACUUGGAGAUCCUUGUACAGCUCUUCGGUUCCCGAACUAGAGAGACAAACAGGAUGAUUUCGGUUUUGUCUGUUCCACACUCUCGUGAUUGCUUUCAGUCAGAUCUCCAAUCUACUUAUUCCCACGUGUUUUUUUCCAGCCUGGCCUUCUCAUGCAUUCAAGAUUUGUUAUUCUGUGUGUCUAGUUUGGAACACGUAAGUCUUUUUAACAUUUAUUAUAAUAUGCUUGGUACCAGCUUCACGCUUUAUCUUAGUCCCAAUUUAUCUCCCAUAUAUUUGUUGUUGCUCCCACACCUAAUCAUAUCAAUGAACAGUAAAAUUUUCAUUUUGUGAUAUUUUAGGAAAAAAACACUGACAGCUGCAGAGGGCUGGCAUUUUGCCAGCACUUCAGGAACCAAAAGAGAUAGGAGGUCAGGAUAACCUUUAUUUCAAACCUUAUAUGGAACCUUCCAAGGGAGCAGAUGCCAACGAAAUCGAGUCGGGGGCUACUUUGCAGGCCGCGGGCUCAAUAAACGACCGUGGAGAGGGGUGUCCUGCGCCUGUUAGAAAUUAUUAUUAUUAUUAGGAAACGUGAUUCUCAUUUUAAUGAGAAAUAGAAUACAUACGUAUAAAGCCAGCGUAUGAAACACCUGCUACUCGUAGUAACCGGUGCGUAGAGCAAGGCGGUCGGUUCCCCCCCCCCCCCCGUGUAUCUGGUACUGUAUUAAAAAGAAUGCCUGCUUCCUAAGACUCCCAGUUGGUUUCUUUCCCCGAUUUCGGUGACGCGGCCACAGGGAUGGCUCGUCCUCCCUCCUGCGCCUCUGACAUAGAGCAGGACGGGCCGUGGGACAGGGACAGCGCCAGGGAGCCAUGACAGA